GUUAGUGGCGAUGAUGAUACUUAUAUGCAAUAUUUAAGUUUUUUUCCAAGCAAGAUCGGAUAAUGGGUGAAUUCGGGCCGUAUCUUGGCGGGGCAAACACCCCCAUCCGAGUAAUUAUCAUACUUUUGGUGUUUGCAGCCCAUGGCGGUAUUCCUGUUCCCCUUUAUUCCGGUUUCACGUAUAUUUGCAUCUGAGCCUAGUAUAACAAGUGUUAGCAUUUCGAAACUAUAUUGAUAGCUUAGCUUUCGAAUUGUGGAACACUAAUAGAUAGUCCUUUAUCUUAUGUCUCAAAAGAGACCUGGGAAUCGAAUCAAGACCUUUUAUAGGAGGGUUUCCUUGAACAGGGCUCCCUCUUUAUUUACUAGUUUACAUAGUGUUGAAAUAACCAUCACCAAAUGGUCUAGUGCCAGGAUCCGUUUUCAAGCUGCUUGCCUUCAAAAAUCAGCUUCUGCUAGUCAGGACUCAGGUGGGAUCUUGGCCUUCACAUUAUCGAUGGUAUCUUUUUUUUUUUGAAAGGUGAAUUUCUCUUGAAACUUCGUGUUGCAAUCUGACAGUGGGAGGUCUUCACGAAGAUCUGCAUCUUUGCACACACAAACACACUCUCUCUCUCUCUCUCUAUAUAUAUAUAUAUAUGGCUGCUAUGAGGCAGCUUUGGUUGAUUGUAAGCUUUGGUUGCCCUCCUCAUCUUUGGCUGAUGAUUUUGUUUACAAAUCCAACAACCCCUAAUUCUGUUUGCUUAAUUCAAAAAGGAAAUUUGAUUAAGUAGCACCAUUUUACGUAGUUAACUUUAUACUGUUGUUCAAAAAAAAAAAAUUGUAUGCUGAUGAAAAAGAGGCUGUGAUGAUGAUGAUGAUGAUAAUGCUUUAUGCGAGUGGAUUGGAGCUAAAUUGAGAUUAUCUGCAUCUUGGCUGGGCAAAUUUAAUAAUACUUCAUCUGGAUGGUAAUGUGAAACUAGUUGUCUUUUUCAUUGCAACGGGAAAGUGAAUUUGCAGCCAUGGCGGAUAUAUCCUCUUUGUUCCAUUGUUUACAUAUCUAUAUCUAUCUGAGCCUCAUAAAUAUUUGUCCUAUUUUUAACUUGAAUCUUUUGUAGAAGUUUUUGAUUGUUUAUGUUUUUCUAAAUUUAGCUCAAGUUCUCUUUACUUAUAAGUUUUUACUUAAGGGUGCUUAACAAGGAAUAAUGACUCUUAAAAAUGUUAUAUUUAAAGAGUAGAGAAAGAGACGAUGAAGUUAUGUAUCAUGGCAUUGGCAGGGUAACCUGAAUUCGGUUGCAGCCAUGGUUGUGUCUCAGCUCUUUUUUUUUUUUAUUUAAGAUUUGCAUCUGCACCCCUCCCCUCAAGUUAUGAUAUCUCUCUGAGUUUUUAGCUUUUGUUUUUGAAGAAUUAUUUCUAGGUUAAUUGCACGAAUGUGGGUUAAUUUUGGUUCAUCACGGGGGUGGUAGGGACCAAUCACACGUCUUGAGGUUUGAACCCAGAACCAACUCUCAAGGGGCUGCUUGGCCAAAGCUCACUCAGUAGCUUACUAGCGUUGCUUAUUGAAACUCUAUUGUAGUUUGAUCAUUGAUAGGAUAGAUAAUCAAGUCUGAUAUUUGGGAUGGUGAUGGAUAGAUUAACUGAAUGUCUUACAAGGAAGCAUGAGACAUGAUAAAAUCAAAUAAGAUACCCGAUAAAGAUUUUGUUAUGCAUUUCGUUUUUUCAGCAAAGCAUCGCUUUCUGAAUAUUAGGUAAAGUUUGGUUUGUAACUUGGCGUGGGAAUCUAAACUGAAUUGCAGUCCUGGCAGUGGCUCCUCCCUUUAUCUGUUAUCAGUAUGUUGGUAAGGCAAUAAUUUGGAUGGUUAUUGAGUGAAAAUAAGUGGUGAAUUCUUUUCUCUCAUGGUGCAAGUUUUAUCUCGUCAAUUGUUUACUGAUAUAUUUGACGCUCAAAAUAUAUGAUCCCUUUUUUCACCUCGACGCUGUUUUACAAGUUUUCUAUUCGGCACAUAUUUUACAACUUGUCACAGUUUUCUUUAUUUUAUUGUACUUUUGUUCAUGAGUUUUACUAGUGUUAUCAAAGGUAGCAACUCUUUAUGAAUGUUCAAAAGAAGACCCUCUAGCUCUGGUCGAGAAAGAAGCUUAACUGGAUGUAUUUUGUUUGUUCAAUCAGUGGUGUAUUUUGGAUUUUUGAUUCUGAGUUAUCAACAACAAUAUCCAGUCUCAUGCAUAUGCAGGAUAUGAGGGAGUUUUAAGGAUGUUGAGGAUUGUAGCUGAUAGACUAAUUAUCUUAUGCUUAACAAGCAAUCAUAGCACACCAAACAAUCAAAGAAGAGAGAAAGAGGCGAAAAAGGUAGUGUUAAGCAAAGUAUACAUUACUCGUGCGCAAUAGUACCAAGGUAUCUUCGCAGGGCCACCCAAAUUUUGCUGUGUUGGAGCUAUGGUGAUGUUUAAUACCCUUUUUCUGAUUUGAAAUUUGCACAUAUGAGGUCUUUCACCCAAAAAUAACUUGUCUUGUCUUGUGAAGUUUUAUGAAGUUUUGAAUUUUUGAUGUAAACAACUUCCAGUAAUACGAAAUGAGAUAAUUUUAGCAAA
This is a long non-coding RNA of Erigeron canadensis, 2561 nucleotides long. RefSeq lists it as uncharacterized. The transcript has 2 exons. The record is from RefSeq and is a predicted model, not a curated record. NCBI's taxonomy places the organism in Eukaryota, Viridiplantae, Streptophyta, Magnoliopsida, Asterales, Asteraceae.